CACUGGCAAUGAUGGACAAAACAACUCUGGCUAAGCGCCUCAGAAACGCAAUGCUUAAAACUAUUUGUAUAAUUAACCAUCUUUCGGGUCUGAGCCAACG
RNAcentral lists this small nucleolar RNA (100 nucleotides) under Melampsora larici-populina 98AG31. Lineage: Eukaryota; Fungi; Basidiomycota; Pucciniomycetes; Pucciniales; Melampsoraceae. The record is from RNAcentral.